UCUCCCCCCAGCUUGGGCUGAUUUGCAGAUUUUAUAAGAAUACUCUCCAAUUCAUUAUCCAAGUCAUUAAUGAAAAAUUUGACUAGUACCAGAUCUAGGACAGGACGCUGUGGGACACCAUUUGAUACUGCCUUCUAAUUUGACAGUGAAACAUGGACAACUACUCUGAACUUAAAACUAUUU
Long non-coding RNA from Dermochelys coriacea (leatherback sea turtle), 183 nucleotides. RefSeq lists it as uncharacterized. NCBI's taxonomy places the organism in Eukaryota, Metazoa, Chordata, Testudines, Dermochelyidae. The transcript has 6 exons. The record is from RefSeq and is a predicted model, not a curated record.